UACGAAGGGGGCGAGCGUUGUUCGGAUUUACUGGGCGUAAAGGGCGCGCAGGCGGUCAUUUUUGUCGAGUGUGAAAGCCCCGGGCUUAACCUGGGAACUGCGCUCGAAACGGGAUGACUAGAGAUCGGGAGAGGAGAGUGGAAUUCCCAGUGUAGAGGUGAAAUUCGUAGAUAUCAGGAAGAACACCCGUGGCGAAGGCGGCUCUCUGGGACGGUACUGACGCUGAGACGCGAAAGCGUGGGGAGCGAACAGG
Molecule: ribosomal RNA, 253 nt
Filed under: uncultured bacterium
Lineage: Bacteria
Description: partial 16S ribosomal RNA
Rfam family: Bacterial small subunit ribosomal RNA
Source: RNAcentral